This 135-nucleotide ribosomal RNA is filed under the name Escherichia coli. Its description in RNAcentral is "partial 16S ribosomal RNA". It matches the Rfam family "Bacterial small subunit ribosomal RNA", at positions 1411 to 1533 of the family's 1533-position model. The record is from RNAcentral. RNAcentral also lists the same sequence under 6 other names. Lineage: Bacteria; Pseudomonadati; Pseudomonadota; Gammaproteobacteria; Enterobacterales; Enterobacteriaceae.
UGGGUUGCAAAAGAAGUAGGUAGCUUAACCUUCGGGAGGGCGCUUACCACUUUGUGAUUCAUGACUGGGGUGAAGUCGUAACAAGGUAACCGUAGGGGAACCUGCGGUUGGAUCACCUCCUUACCUUAAAGAAGC